Molecule: ribosomal RNA, 463 nt
Filed under: Vreelandella stevensii
Lineage: Bacteria; Pseudomonadati; Pseudomonadota; Gammaproteobacteria; Oceanospirillales; Halomonadaceae
Description: partial 16S ribosomal RNA
Rfam family: Bacterial small subunit ribosomal RNA
Source: RNAcentral
CCUAGGGAGCUGCAGUGGGGAAUAUUGGACAAUGGGCGAAAGCCUGAUCCAGCCAUGCCGCGUGUGUGAAGAAGGCCUUCGGGUUGUAAAGCACUUUCAGUGGGGAAGAAAGCCUUGGGGCUAAUACCCUCGAGGAAGGACAUCACCCACAGAAGAAGCACCGGCUAACUCCGUGCCAGCAGCCGCGGUAAUACGGAGGGUGCGAGCGUUAAUCGGAAUUACUGGGCGUAAAGCGCGCGUAGGCGGUCUGAUAAGCCGGUUGUGAAAGCCCCGGGCUCAACCUGGGAACGGCAUCCGGAACUGUCAGGCUAGAGUGCAGGAGAGGAAGGUAGAAUUCCCGGUGUAGCGGUGAAAUGCGUAGAGAUCGGGAGGAAUACCAGUGGCGAAGGCGGCCUUCUGGACUGACACUGACGCUGAGGUGCGAAAGCGUGGGUAGCAAACAGGAUUAGAUACCCUAGUAGUC